Molecule: small RNA, 31 nt
Filed under: Bombyx mori (domestic silkworm)
Lineage: Eukaryota; Metazoa; Arthropoda; Insecta; Lepidoptera; Bombycidae
Description: ovarian small RNA-2493
Source: RNAcentral
ACCGGCACUAGCGGGGCCAGCACCCCGGCCA